This 74-nucleotide transfer RNA is filed under the name Culex quinquefasciatus (southern house mosquito). RNAcentral describes it as "tRNA-Glu". The record is from RNAcentral. Lineage: Eukaryota; Metazoa; Arthropoda; Insecta; Diptera; Culicidae.
GCACCGUGCGUGGUGUAGGGGUAAGCGUGAUUGGCUCUCACCCAGUCGGCCUGGGUUCGAUCCCAGACGGUCCC